CUUUGGAUUGGGCGUCAUAGAGGGUGAUAACCCCGUUUGUGACCGCUUUGUUCAUCCAUGUGAAGCCCUUUCGACGAGUCGAGUUGUUUGGGAAUGCAGCUCAAAAUGGGUGGUAGACUUCAUCUAAAGCUAAAUAUCAGCCAGAGACCGAUAGCGCACAAGUAGAGUGAUCGAAAGAUGAAAAGCACUUUGAAAAGAGAGUCAAACAGCACGUGAAAUUGUUGAAAGGGAAGCGCUAGCCACCAGACUUGCUUGUAUUGUUCAGCCUCCUGAAAAGGUGGUGUACUCUUUACCUGCAGGCCAGCAUCGGUUUCGACGGUCGGAUAAAAACUUAUGGAAAGUAGCUUUCCUUCGGGAAAGUGUUAUAGCCUGAGUACAAUGCGACCAGUUGGGACCGAG
Molecule: ribosomal RNA, 399 nt
Filed under: Thelotrema lepadinum
Lineage: Eukaryota; Fungi; Ascomycota; Lecanoromycetes; Ostropales; Graphidaceae
Description: LSU rRNA
Rfam family: Eukaryotic large subunit ribosomal RNA
Source: RNAcentral